AGGUCAGUAGCUCCAAUGGUAGAGCGGCUGAUUCCAAAUCAGCAUGUUGUGGGUUCGAAUCCCUCCUGGCCUGCCA
RNAcentral lists this transfer RNA (76 nucleotides) under Silvanigrellaceae bacterium. RNAcentral describes it as "tRNA-Trp". It matches the Rfam family "tRNA". Rfam says of the family: Transfer RNA (tRNA) molecules are approximately 80 nucleotides in length. Their secondary structure includes four short double-helical elements and three loops (D, anti-codon, and T loops). Further hydrogen bonds mediate the characteristic L-shaped molecular structure. tRNAs have two regions of fundamental functional importance: the anti-codon, which is responsible for specific mRNA codon recognition, and the 3' end, to which the tRNAs corresponding amino acid is attached (by aminoacyl-tRNA synthetases). tRNAs cope with the degeneracy of the genetic code in two manners: having more than one tRNA (with a specific anti-codon) for a particular amino acid; and 'wobble' base-pairing, i.e. permitting non-standard base-pairing at the 3rd anti-codon position. The record is from RNAcentral. Lineage: Bacteria; Pseudomonadati; Bdellovibrionota; Oligoflexia; Silvanigrellales; Silvanigrellaceae.